AGUCACCUACGGGACGCAGCAGUGAGGAAUAUUGGUCAAUGGGCUUACGCCUGAACCAGCCAAGUCGCGUGAGGGAAGACUGCCCUAUGGGUUGUAAACCUCUUUUGUCAGGGAGCAACGCCGGCUACGUGUAGCCGGACUGAGAGUACCUGAAGAAAAAGCAUCGGCUAACUCCGUGCCAGCAGCCGCGGUAAUACGGAGGAUGCGAGCGUUAUCCGGAUUUAUUGGGUUUAAAGGGUGCGUAGGCGGAAUGCCAAGUCAGCGGUAAAAUCGCGGGGCUCAACCCCGACAAGCCGUGGAAACUG
Molecule: ribosomal RNA, 305 nt
Filed under: uncultured bacterium
Lineage: Bacteria
Description: bacterial SSU rRNA
Rfam family: Bacterial small subunit ribosomal RNA
Source: RNAcentral